Molecule: non-coding RNA, 163 nt
Organism: Pelobates cultripes (western spadefoot toad)
Lineage: Eukaryota; Metazoa; Chordata; Amphibia; Anura; Pelobatidae
Source: the annotation of a GenBank genome assembly
GAGUGAGGGAAGGAAGGGGUGACUAGUGACAGAGUGAGGGAGGGGGUGACUAGUGACAGAGUGAGGGAGGGGGUGACUGUCACUAGUCACACCCUCCCUCUCUCUGUCACUAGUCACACCCUCCCUCACUCUGUCACUAGUCACCCCUUCCUUCCCUCUCUCU